Molecule: ribosomal RNA, 492 nt
Filed under: uncultured bacterium
Lineage: Bacteria
Description: partial 16S ribosomal RNA
Rfam family: Bacterial small subunit ribosomal RNA
Source: RNAcentral
AGUGAACGCUGGCGGUAGGCCUAACACAUGCAAGUCGAACGGCAGCACAGUAAGAGCUUGCUCUUACGGGUGGCGAGUGGCGGACGGGUGAGGAAUACAUCGGAAUCUACUUUUUCGUGGGGGAUAACGUAGGGAAACUUACGCUAAUACCGCAUAAGACCUACGGGUGAAAGCAGGGGAUCUUCGGACCUUGCGCGAUUGAAUGAGCCGAUGUCGGAUUAGCUAGUUGGCGGGGUAAAGGCCCACCAAGGCGACGAUCCGUAGCUGGUCUGAGAGGAUGAUCAGCCACACUGGAACUGAGACACGGUCCAGACUCCUACGGGAGGCAGCAGUGGGGAAUAUUGGACAAUGGGCGCAAGCCUGAUCCAGCCAUACCGCGUGGGUGAAGAAGGCCUUCGGGUUGUAAAGCCCUUUUGUUGGGAAAGAAAAGCAGCAGGUUAAUACCCCGCUGUCCUGACGGUACCCAAAGAAUAAGCACCGGCUAACUUCGUG